GGGGCUGAUUCUGGAUUCGACGGGAUUUGCGAAACCCAAGGUGCAUGCCGAGGAGCGGUUGGCCUCGUAAAAAGCCGCAAAAAAUAGUCGCAAACGACGAAAACUACGCUUUAGCAGCUUAAUAACCUGCUUAGAGCCCUCUCUCCCUAGCCUCCGCUCUUAGGACGGGGAUCAAGAGAGGUCAAACCCAAAAGAGAUCGCGUGGAAGCCCUGCCUGGGGUUGAAGCGUUAAAACUUAAUCAGGCUAGUUUGUUAGUGGCGUGUCCGUCCGCAGCUGGCAAGCGAAUGUAAAGACUGACUAAGCAUGUAGUACCGAGGACGUAGGAAUUUCGGACGCGGGUUCAACUCCCGCCAGCUCCACCA
Molecule: transfer-messenger RNA, 363 nt
Filed under: Escherichia coli
Lineage: Bacteria; Pseudomonadati; Pseudomonadota; Gammaproteobacteria; Enterobacterales; Enterobacteriaceae
Also listed under: 1 other name
Description: Standard tmRNA
Rfam family: transfer-messenger RNA
About the family: Bacterial tmRNA, also known as 10Sa RNA or SsrA, is named for its dual tRNA and mRNA-like properties. Its role is to liberate the mRNA from a stalled ribosome. To accomplish this part of the tmRNA is used as a reading frame that ends in a translation stop signal.
Source: RNAcentral